UCACAGGCUUCUCUUGAAGCCAACUUUACUCCAUUAAGGGAGGUCU
Molecule: non-coding RNA, 46 nt
Organism: Drosophila mojavensis
Lineage: Eukaryota; Metazoa; Arthropoda; Insecta; Diptera; Drosophilidae
Source: Rfam